CACCCCCACCCCCACUCCGGCGCGCCAUCUUUAGUGCUGGCAGCGAGGCUUCUUGGCCCCAUACGUCCAACCUUGCUGCUGGAGAGGUUGGGGUUUAUUUUUAACUGACUUACAUGAACGUGACCCCAUUUCCGAGGCCUGGCGCCUUUCUCAUCCUGUAAGUCUUCGCUGGAAUGUCACCUUGCGAGGGAAGUUGUUCCUGAUCACCCUGACUAGGUCCCCUACCGGUACUAAGAAAAAUCUGCAAAACAAAUGCUUGGCCAGCCUUAAGGAAUGAAUGACCUUAGACUGAGUAAACCACACCAAGAUCACUCCUGGAAAAUGUUUUCAAGUGUCAAAGAUGGGAUGAUCGACCAAAAGUUCUUACUGAAACCAAAGAAGGCAAACACCACCUACUAUAUUAUAAAGUAGAGACAGGGUUUCAUCAUGCUGGCCAGACUGGUCUUGAGCUCCUGACAUCGUGAUCUGCCUGCCUCGGCCUCCCAAAGUACUGGGAUUACAGGCAUGAGCCACCACGCCCAGCCAAGACAUGUUGUUUUUACAGGAGAGGACACUGCACUGGCCCCUCCGGAGGUCACAGCAACGUGGCGCCAUCUUGGAAGCAGAGAGCAGCCCUCACCAGACACCAACACCAGGCGCGGUGAUCUUGGCCUCCAAAGCUGUAAGAAAUAAAUUCUGCUCCUUAUAAAUUA
Gorilla gorilla gorilla (western lowland gorilla) is the source of this 692-nucleotide long non-coding RNA. RefSeq lists it as uncharacterized. The transcript has 4 exons. NCBI's taxonomy places the organism in Eukaryota, Metazoa, Chordata, Mammalia, Primates, Hominidae. The record is from RefSeq and is a predicted model, not a curated record.